GAGCUUGUGCACAUAAACAAACAGAACUUUCUACUCUUUCUUCACAACUUCUCUUUCCUCAAUCUUUCUUCUGUUUUUUGACUCUUUUCUUUCUUUUCCUUUUUUUCACUAUUUUUUUCUUACACAACUAAGAACAAGACACAACUGUCAGUGUUCUAACUUGAUAGGAUCAAAGUUUACGCAAAGGAUGAUACGAGUUUCUAAAUUUUUUUAAGAAUUUGUAGAUAUAUUAAAGAAGCUCAAAAAACACGCAAAGGGAUAUGAUAAGCAACUAAAACAGAGACUCUAAUACACCGAAAUUUGACCAAACAAUGGGCUGAUGCAAAAUAUUUUUAUGGCUUUUUAGUGGAUAGGAUGAACACAAAAUAUAUAUGUAGCUAAGGGUAAAAUCUUACCGUAGUAACGAAAGCUUUGAUAUC
RNAcentral lists this long non-coding RNA (419 nucleotides) under Sorghum bicolor (sorghum). RNAcentral's name for it is "long non-coding RNA (SBIC_LNC002461)". The record is from RNAcentral. Lineage: Eukaryota; Viridiplantae; Streptophyta; Magnoliopsida; Poales; Poaceae.